GAUGAACGCUGGCGGCGUGCCUAAUACAUGCAAGUCGAGCGAACAGACGAGGAGCUUGCUCCUCUGACGUUAGCGGCGGACGGGUGAGUAACACGUGGAUAACCUACCUAUAAGACUGGGAUAACUUCGGGAAACCGGAGCUAAUACCGGAUAAUAUAUUGAACCGCAUGGUUCAAUAGUGAAAGACGGUUUUGCUGUCACUUAUAGAUGGAUCCGCGCCGCAUUAGCUAGUUGGUAAGGUAACGGCUUACCAAGGCAACGAUGCGUAGCCGACCUGAGAGGGUGAUCGGCCACACUGGAACUGAGACACGGUCCAGACUCCUACGGGAGGCAGCAGUAGGGAACCUUCCGCAAUGGGCGAAAGCCUGACGGAGCAACGCCGCGUGAGUGAUGAAGGUCUUCGGAUCGUAAAACUCUGUUAUUAGGGAAGAACAAAUGUGUAAGUAACUAUGCCCGUCUUGACGGUACCUAAUCAGAAAGCCACGGCUAACUACGUG
RNAcentral lists this ribosomal RNA (497 nucleotides) under uncultured bacterium. RNAcentral describes it as "partial 16S ribosomal RNA". It matches the Rfam family "Bacterial small subunit ribosomal RNA", at positions 28 to 507 of the family's 1533-position model. The record is from RNAcentral.